Long non-coding RNA from Polypterus senegalus (gray bichir), 831 nucleotides. RefSeq lists it as uncharacterized. The record is from RefSeq and is a predicted model, not a curated record. The transcript has 3 exons. NCBI's taxonomy places the organism in Eukaryota, Metazoa, Chordata, Cladistia, Polypteriformes, Polypteridae.
UCGCCGAUCAGCUCCUCCACCCUCCGCUCAAGCUCGUCUAUCCGCUGCCGCUGUGUUUGGAUCAGACUCUGCUGGUUCUGCACGAUGGUGAUGGAUGCUCCUCUCUUCUUCUCUCCUGCCGCACGCUCACUGCAAGCGAGCUGGAUGGCUCUGUUCCCGACUGUUGAAGCUGUGAAGAGGACAGCACUGAUGAUGCUGCCGCCGCGGAUUGGGAGAAGCGAGCGGUGGAGGAGGGGUCCGGGUAUCGAGCUCAAUGUGAUGUCAACACGUCCAGCCAAGAGGUUGACCGAAGCACUGUGGAGCGACCAGUGAUGCUGGAAUAAAGAUGGGUACCCCAGCUGUCCAGAAGACCGACUGCAUCAAAUCCUCUCACAUGAAGCAUGGAAAUGUAAUGUAAGCACAUUUAUGUUAGAUAGAAUGCCCAGUGGGAGCUGUGUGGACUUUCGGCCUUGGAAACCCCUGCAGGUUUUUUUUUUAUUGAUUUUUCUGUUCUCCUGGCCAUCUAACCUUAUCACCAGACUUAUCUUUAGAGACUUAAAUUAUGAUCUUUAUAUAUAAUAUGCUACCGUGGCUGUUCAUUUGUCUCUACAUGAUUUUAAAUCACCUGUAGUUCGCAAACCGUUUGAACUAUUGACCUGAAAUUUGGUACUCAUAUACUACGUGAUCACUACUGUCCGCUGUCGGGGUGAUAAUUUAACUCCAAGGUUAUUCCUCUUUUUAUUUUAUUGUAGAAUCAACUCUAGGCAGCACACAGCAGGGCAACUGUGCGGCACAUGCAUACGGGCACCGUUCUCAUUCCCUACCACCUUCACCGUCACUUCCCCUACAUCU